CGGAUUGUAGUCUGCAACCCGACUACAUGAAGCUGGAAUCGCUAGUAAUCGCGGAUCAGAAUGCCGCGGUGAAUACGUUCCCGGGUCUUGUACACACCGCCCGUCACACCAUGGGAGUCAGUAACGCCCGAAGUCAGUGACCCAACCGGAAGGAGGGAGCUGCCGAAGGCGGGACGGAUAACUGGGGUGAAGUCGUAACAAGGUACC
RNAcentral lists this ribosomal RNA (207 nucleotides) under uncultured bacterium. Its description in RNAcentral is "partial 16S ribosomal RNA". It matches the Rfam family "Bacterial small subunit ribosomal RNA", at positions 1294 to 1500 of the family's 1533-position model. The record is from RNAcentral.